UAAGUACUCCCUCCGUCCCAAAAUUCUUGUCUUAGGUUUUUUCUAAAAAUGAAUGUAUCUAAAUACUAAAACCUAACUAGAUACAUUUAUAUCUAGAUAAAUCUAAAACAAGAAUUUUAAGACAGAGAAAGUAUUUU
Non-coding RNA from Hordeum vulgare subsp. vulgare (domesticated barley), 137 nucleotides. The record is from Rfam. NCBI's taxonomy places the organism in Eukaryota, Viridiplantae, Streptophyta, Magnoliopsida, Poales, Poaceae.